UUUGUUGAUCAUACUGAUAUGAUUUUAUGUUCCCACUAUUGUUCUUGUCUUUUUUCCAGGCAUUGAAGCAGCUACCAAGAGAGAAGGUACAGUUAGCCACAAAGUUUGGAAUCGAAAAUAUGGAUUCGACUGGUUUCAUAGUAAAUGGUACUCCCCAAUAUGUCCGUACCUGUAUUGAAGCUAGCCUGAAGCGCCUUGAUGUAGACUAUAUUGAUCUUUACUACCAGCACAGGGUUGACACCAACACUCCAAUAGAGGAUACUGUAAGUGCUUCAGUUGAAACUUGAAAGCAUCUUAAAAUUAUUUCUUCA
This 311-nucleotide long non-coding RNA is filed under the name Gossypium barbadense (sea-island cotton). RNAcentral's name for it is "long non-coding RNA (GBAR_LNC021122)". Lineage: Eukaryota; Viridiplantae; Streptophyta; Magnoliopsida; Malvales; Malvaceae. The record is from RNAcentral.